Molecule: long non-coding RNA, 484 nt
Organism: Cyprinus carpio carpio
Lineage: Eukaryota; Metazoa; Chordata; Actinopteri; Cypriniformes; Cyprinidae
Source: Ensembl
AGAGUGUGUGUGUGUGUGUGAGAGAGUGAGUGUGUGUGUGUGUGUGUGUGAGUGUGUGUGUGUGUGUGUGUGUGUGUGUGUGUGUGUGUGUGUGUGUGUGUGAGUGAGUGAGUGAGUGUGUGAGUGAGUGAGUGAGUGAGUGAGUGAGUGAGUGUGUGUGUGUGUGUGUGUGUGUGUGUGUGUGUGUGUGUGUUAGUGGAGUGAGUGAGUGAGUGAGUGUGAGUGAGUGAGUGAGUGUGUGUGUGUGUGUGUGUGUGAGUGAGUGUGUGUGUGAGUGAGUGUGUGAGUGAGUGAGUGAGUGAGUGAGUGAGUGAGUGAGUGUGUGAGUGAGUGAGUGAGUGUGUGUGUGUGUGUGUGUGUGAGUGAGUGAGUGAGUGGUUGAGUGAGUGAGUGAGUGAGUGUGUGUGUGUGUGUGUGUGUGUGUAUGUGUGUGUGUGUGUGUGUGUGUGUGUGUGUGUGUGUGUGUGUGUGUGUGUGUGUAUGU